CAUUUGACAGUGGCGUAGCCAGGGUUGAAAUGAUGUGGAUGUUUUGCCGAGCGGAGCGAGGCGAAAUUUUUUUUGGACCUUUUUAUGCAGAAAAUUAAGCACAUGUACUCCCCCAGAAUCCGACACUAGUUAGAUUUUUGUUUAAAUUCAAAAUACCCACCAAUACAUAUAUUUAUAUUUUCAACCAAAUUUUAUUGUUUCCUCGAAACUAUCAUCGUUCAAUUCAUAAAUAUUAAUUUGAUGUAAAGUUUCCCACCCAAUCUUAUAUUUGACAUAUCAAAAAACGGACCUCAUUACAGCGGCACUUCUGUAGAAUUUUGGAACUUCGGAAUAUAGGAACUGAAGUGACUUCUCUUUCCAGGAAUUUGAGUCUUCAACCUUGGGUUUUUGAUUUUUGAUUACCAUGAUUAUUGAACAAAACGCGUUGCAGGAG
RNAcentral lists this long non-coding RNA (433 nucleotides) under Mytilus galloprovincialis (Mediterranean mussel). Lineage: Eukaryota; Metazoa; Mollusca; Bivalvia; Mytilida; Mytilidae. The record is from RNAcentral.